UCCCUAAUGGCUCAUUGGUAAAGAAUCUGCCUGCAAAGCGGGAGACCCAGGUUCGAUCCCUGGGUUGGGAA
RNAcentral lists this transfer RNA (71 nucleotides) under Bos taurus (domestic cattle). It matches the Rfam family "tRNA". From Rfam's summary of the family: Transfer RNA (tRNA) molecules are approximately 80 nucleotides in length. RNAcentral also lists the same sequence under 4 other names. The record is from Rfam by way of RNAcentral. Lineage: Eukaryota; Metazoa; Chordata; Mammalia; Artiodactyla; Bovidae.